GGGAAUGUGGCUUAGUGGUAGAGUGCUUGCCUAGCAUGCAUGAAGCCCUGAGUUCCAUUCCUC
RNAcentral lists this transfer RNA (63 nucleotides) under Dipodomys ordii (Ord's kangaroo rat). It matches the Rfam family "tRNA". Rfam says of the family: Transfer RNA (tRNA) molecules are approximately 80 nucleotides in length. Lineage: Eukaryota; Metazoa; Chordata; Mammalia; Rodentia; Heteromyidae. The record is from Rfam by way of RNAcentral.